GACGAACGCUGGCGGCGUGCUUAACACAUGCAAGUCGAACGGUAAGGCCCUUCGGGGUACACGAGUGGCGAACGGGUGAGUAACACGUGGGUGAUCUGCCCUGCACUUCGGGAUAAGCCUGGGAAACUGGGUCUAAUACCGGAUAGGACCACUGCCUGCAUGGGUGGUGGUGGAAAGCUUUUGCGGUGUGGGAUGGGGCCGCGGCCUAUCGGCUUGUUGGUGGGGUGAUGGCCUAACAAGGCGACGACGGGUAGCCGGCCUGAGAGGGUGACCGGCCACACUGGGACUGAGAUACGGCCCAGACUCCUACGGGAGGCAGCAGUGGGGAAUAUUGCACAAUGGGAGCAAGCCUGAUGCAGCGACGCCGCGUGAGGGAUGACGGCCUUCGGGUUGUAAACCUCUUUCAGCACCGACGAAGCGCAAGUGACGGUAGGUGCAGAAGAAGGACUGGCCAACUACGUGCCAGCCGCCGCAGUAA
This 478-nucleotide ribosomal RNA is filed under the name uncultured bacterium. Its description in RNAcentral is "partial 16S ribosomal RNA". It matches the Rfam family "Bacterial small subunit ribosomal RNA", at positions 28 to 523 of the family's 1533-position model. The record is from RNAcentral.